UUUAAUUCGAUGCAACGCGAAGAACCUUACCUGGGCUAGAAUGCUGGUAGACCGAGGGUGAAAGCUCUCUUCCCCGCAAGGGGCUGCCGGUAAGGUGCUGCAUGGCUGUCGUCAGCUCGUGCCGUGAGGUGUUGGGUUAAGUCCCGCAACGAGCGCAACCCCCAUCACUAGUUGCCAUCAGGUAAUGCUGGGAACUCUAGUGAAACUGCCGUCGCAAGACGCGAGGAAGGAGGGGAUGAUGUCAAGUCAUCAUGGCCUUUAUGCCCAGGGCUACACACGUGCUACAAUGGAGAGGACAAAGGGCUGCCACACGGCGACGUGGAGCUAAUCCCAAAAACCUCUUCUCAGUUCAGAUUGCAGUCUGCAACUCGACUGCAUGAAGCUGGAAUCGCUAGUAAUCGUAUAUCAGCAAUGAUA
RNAcentral lists this ribosomal RNA (417 nucleotides) under uncultured bacterium. RNAcentral's name for it is "bacterial SSU rRNA". It matches the Rfam family "Bacterial small subunit ribosomal RNA", at positions 945 to 1359 of the family's 1533-position model. The record is from RNAcentral.